AUCUGGCCCGAUCGAAGCUGAACCAAACUAUAUGUUUGGUGUCAGUCAAAGCGCGGCCUACAGUAUAGUUUGACAUAUGGUCGCACGACGCAUCACCAAUAUGAGAUCGUGCAUUACCCAUGUCAAAUACACAU
Molecule: small nucleolar RNA, 134 nt
Organism: Cydia fagiglandana
Lineage: Eukaryota; Metazoa; Arthropoda; Insecta; Lepidoptera; Tortricidae
Source: RefSeq, a predicted model, not a curated record